RNAcentral lists this ribosomal RNA (509 nucleotides) under uncultured Glomus. RNAcentral describes it as "SSU rRNA". It matches the Rfam family "Eukaryotic small subunit ribosomal RNA", at positions 569 to 1081 of the family's 1831-position model. The record is from RNAcentral. Lineage: Eukaryota; Fungi; Glomeromycota; Glomeromycetes; Glomerales; Glomeraceae.
AGCAGCCGCGGUAAUUCCAGCUCCAAUAGCGUAUAUUAAAGUUGUUGCAGUUAAAAAGCUCGUAGUUGAAUUUCGGGAUCAGUGGGUCGGUCGUGCCACUGGUAUGCACUGGCCCUACUGGUUCCUCCUUCUUGAAGAACUGUAAUGCCAUUAAUUUGGUGUUGCAGGGAAACAGGACUGUUACUUUGAAAAAUUAGAGUGUUUAAAGCAGGCAAUCGCUUGAAUACAUUAGCAUGGAAUAAUGAAAUAGGACGAUCGAUCCUAUUUUGUUGGUUUCUAGGAUUGACGUAAUGAUUAAUAGGGAUAGUUGGGGGCAUUAGUAUUCAAUUGUCAGAGGUGAAAUUCUUGGAUUUAUUGAAGACUAACUACUGCGAAAGCAUUUGCCAAGGAUGUUUUCAUUAAUCAAGAACGAAAGUUAGGGGAUCGAAGACGAUCAGAUACCGUCGUAGUCUUAACCAUAAACUAUGCCGACUAGGGAUCGGAUGAUGUUAAUUUUUAAUGACUCAUUC